UCUUCAUUGCUUUACAGUUCGUUAGAUUUAAUAACCAAAAUUUGCCAAAUGGAAAAAAACGUCUCAAUGCCAACUAUUAAGCGGUGGCGACAUAAUGCCUAAACAAGGGACUCUUUGCAGAACUGGCAGAUGGCAAGAGCAAAAUGGAAUUGGAAAUAGCAAAAACAGUGUUUCGAAGGAAGAGAAAAACAAAGAGGAAAGGAAAUCGAUUGCAAUAACUUGAUAAUCCCUUCUGAGAUAUAAGAUUACGUAUUUUCUGAUAAUUUAUUUUUAUAAAUAUAAGUAAAAGAAA
This is a long non-coding RNA of Stomoxys calcitrans (stable fly), 292 nucleotides long. RefSeq lists it as uncharacterized. The transcript has 2 exons. NCBI's taxonomy places the organism in Eukaryota, Metazoa, Arthropoda, Insecta, Diptera, Muscidae. The record is from RefSeq and is a predicted model, not a curated record.